GCAAGAUUUAACAAGCAGCAUGUUACUUCAGCCUCAUCAGUGACAGCUGAUGUACUUGAAGGCCAAUGGAGAAGUGACAGAACUUUGAGCAAGAUUUAACAAGCUGCACUUUACUUCAGCCUCAUCAGUGACAGAUGUACUUGAAGGCCAGCCUAGAGGAAGUGACAGAACCAACCUUGAGCAAGAUGUAACGCAUGUUAAUUCAGCCUCUCCAGUGGUUGGUGUACAAGAAAUGAAACCAAGACGGCCAUAUGACCACAGGGUGUUCCCACAACUGUACUGUCUUCCAGCCCACACCUUCAAGAGUACCACCUUAAGCAUGAACUUUUUUCUACAAUUGAGAAAAUUUUUAAAGUACAGUAAAGUAAUAUAUUUAAGAAUGUAUAAGUAAGCCUCGAGUCAAGCCACAUAGAUUAAGAAAAAGUUGAAUAUAUUAUGUAAUGGUUGGCACUUGUAUUGAGAUUAGGAUGAGUUGGCUCUCAUUAUACAAUAUCUAUACAUAAUCAAAUAAACACUGAAUAAAUU
Long non-coding RNA from Homarus americanus (American lobster), 525 nucleotides. RefSeq lists it as uncharacterized. Lineage: Eukaryota; Metazoa; Arthropoda; Malacostraca; Decapoda; Nephropidae. The record is from RefSeq and is a predicted model, not a curated record. The transcript has 4 exons.